UACCGGGGGUGCGAGCGCUUGUCGGUAUCAUUGGGCGUAAAGGGCGCGUAGGCGGUCCGGUGAGUGGGGUGUGAAAGCCACGGGCUCAACCCGGGAAGUGCAUUCGAAAAUGCCGGGCUUGAGUACGGGAGGGGGAAGUGGAAUUCCUGGUGUAGGGGUGAAAUCCGGAGAUACCAGGAGGAACACCGGUGGCGAAGGCGACUUCCUGGACGUAUUCUGACGCUGAGGCACGAAAGCGCGAGGAGCAAACAGG
This 253-nucleotide ribosomal RNA is filed under the name uncultured bacterium. RNAcentral describes it as "partial 16S ribosomal RNA". It matches the Rfam family "Bacterial small subunit ribosomal RNA", at positions 524 to 776 of the family's 1533-position model. The record is from RNAcentral.